RNAcentral lists this unclassified non-coding RNA (268 nucleotides) under Hevea brasiliensis (rubber tree). The record is from RNAcentral. Lineage: Eukaryota; Viridiplantae; Streptophyta; Magnoliopsida; Malpighiales; Euphorbiaceae.
AAAACAUCGAAAUGACCCAUGCUGGUGUAAGGACAGGUUUACAUGCUGGGAGAUUUUGUUGUGUAAACUGAUAUACAGCAUCAUCUAAAUGUCGUCGAACUGGAUGUGACCGAGAUUCUACAGACUGUGCACCAUUUCCAGACAAAGUACUUGGUCCCUCCACAUCCAUUCAAUCAAAUUAUGAUAGCAAAGCCCUGUAGACUCUGUACUCAAGAAUCUUCAGCUAGGGCAAAAAAAUCUACAGGUAGUAAAUUUUGCAUAUAAAUUU